RNAcentral lists this ribosomal RNA (1186 nucleotides) under uncultured Treponema sp. RNAcentral's name for it is "bacterial SSU rRNA". It matches the Rfam family "Bacterial small subunit ribosomal RNA", at positions 8 to 1178 of the family's 1533-position model. Lineage: Bacteria; Pseudomonadati; Spirochaetota; Spirochaetia; Treponematales; Treponemataceae. The record is from RNAcentral.
AGAGUUUGAUCAUGGCUCAGAACGAACGCUGGCGGCGCGUCUUAAGCAUGCAAGUCGAACGGCAAGAGAGGAGCUUGCUUCUCUCCUAGAGUGGCGGACUGGUAAGGAACGCGUGGGUAAUCUACCCUUAAGAUGGGGAUAGCCGCUAGAAAUAGCGGGUAAUACCGAAUAGACUUAUAGCUGAGAAAGAAGUGAUAAGGAAAGGAAGCUAAGGCUUCGCUUAAGGAUGAGCCUGCGUCCCAUUAGCUAGUUGGUAAGGUAACGGCCUACCAAGGCGACGAUGGGUAUCCGGCCUGAGAGGGUGAACGGACACAUUGGGACUGAGAUACGGCCCAAACUCCUACGGGAGGCAGCAGCUAAGAAUAUUCCGCAAUGGACGGAAGUCUGACGGAGCGACGCCGCGUGGAUGAAGAAGGCUGAAAAGUUGUAAAAUUCUUUUGCUGAUGAAGAAUAAAGAUAAGAGGGAAUGCUUAUCAGAUGACGGUAGUCGGCGAAUAAGCCCCGGCUAAUUACGUGCCAGCAGCCGCGGUAACACGUAAGGGGCGAGCGUUGUUCGGAAUUAUUGGGCGUAAAGGGCAUGCAGGCGGUUGUGUAAGCCUGAUGUGAAAUCCUGAGGCUUAACCUUGGGGCUGCAUUGGGUACUGCACGACUUGAAUUACGGAAGGGGAACUGGAAUUCCAAGUGUAGGGGUGGAAUCUGUAGAUAUUUGGAAGAACACCGGUGGCGAAGGCGGGUUUCUGGCCGAUAAUUGACGCUGAGAUGCGAAAGUGUGGGGAUCGAACAGGAUUAGAUACCCUGGUAGUCCACACUGUAAACGAUGUACACUAGGUGUUGGGGUAACAAUCUCAGUGCCGAAGCAAACGUGAUAAGUGUACCGCCUGGGGAGUAUGCCCGCAAGGGUGAAACUCAAAGGAAUUGACGGGGGCCCGCACAAGCGGUGGAGCAUGUGGUUUAAUUCGAUGGUACGCGAGGAAUCUUACCUGGGUUUGACAUCUAGUGGGAUACUUUAGAGAUAAGGUAGUGUAGCAAUACACCGCUAGACAGGUGCUGCAUGGCUGUCGUCAGCUCGUGCCGUGAGGUGUUGGGUUAAGUCCCGCAACGAGCGCAACCCCUACUGCCAGUUACUAACAGGUAAAGCUUGAGGACUCUGGCGGAACUGCCGAUGACAAAUCGGAGGAAGGUGGGG